UACGAGGGGGGCAAGUGUUGUUCGGAAUCACUGGGCGUAAAGGGAGCGUAGGCGGAUGUUUAAGUCGGGUGUUUAAAACCGGGGCCCAACCCCGGAGCGGCACCCGAAACUGGGCAUCUUGAAUAGGUCAGAGGCUGGUGGAAUUGGAGGUGUAGCGGUGGAAUGCGUAGAGAUCUCCAAGGACACCUAUUGCGAAGGCAGCCAGCUGGGACCAUAUUGACGCUGAGGCUCGAAAGCAUGGGGAGCAAACAGG
Molecule: ribosomal RNA, 253 nt
Filed under: uncultured bacterium
Lineage: Bacteria
Description: partial 16S ribosomal RNA
Rfam family: Bacterial small subunit ribosomal RNA
Source: RNAcentral